UAUAAAGUGGGUUUAAAAGUGGUAGACCAUGUGCUUAGCAUGCACAAGGCCUGGGUUCGAUCCCCAGUACCAAAA
Molecule: transfer RNA, 75 nt
Filed under: Marmota monax (woodchuck)
Lineage: Eukaryota; Metazoa; Chordata; Mammalia; Rodentia; Sciuridae
Description: tRNA.Ala
Source: RNAcentral